Arvicola amphibius (Eurasian water vole) is the source of this 867-nucleotide long non-coding RNA. RefSeq lists it as uncharacterized. Lineage: Eukaryota; Metazoa; Chordata; Mammalia; Rodentia; Cricetidae. The transcript is spliced from 3 exons. The record is from RefSeq and is a predicted model, not a curated record.
ACUGGCUACAAUGGCUUCCAUUCUACUCUAUGUCUGUUCUAAGCCGGAGUUAACAGCCCCGGAACUUGCUUUGUAGAUCAGGCUCUACUCUAAUUUAUUUGCAUCUUUUCUCCUUAGUUAGUCUACCUUAAAAGACUGUUAAUUUUAUUUAGCUUUUCAAGAACCCAGUUCUUUAAUGAUCUCCUGUGGCUUUUUCUCCUUUAGUCUCUGUUACACGUGUGGUGUGAAAUGACCCACGGUUCCCCAUGGAGGCCCUGUUGUCUCCUACCUCGCAUUUUCUGUCCUCCGGCUGAUGCACUGGUGCAGGUAGAGAUAUUCCUGAGGCGCACUGGUGGACAAGGCUGGCUGGAUGUGGCUUGACACGGGGGGCUCAAACGUGAACAGAGUGGGUUGGCUGGAGUGGGAAGGGGCGGAGGACUUCCUUUCUCGGAGCAGGUGGUGGCUGGAGCUGCUGAACUCAGCUGGAGAAGAGCGGGGACCGUGGCCGGCUGAAGAAAGGUUUCUCAGGGAGUCUGUGGAAAGAAGAGCGAGCUCUGUUUGCAGAAUGAACUCUCUAAUGGUGAAUGAGAGACAGUUUAUACCAGGGACAGUAGUCAUGGCACCGGAGGAGGAACACAGCUGUUCUGCCUGAGAAGACACAGGGGAGGGAUAAGAAGCCCUCUGAUAAGAGGAUUUCCAGGAACAUGCCGGGCUCCUUCCUCAGACUGAAACUCGGUGAAGCCAGAGAUUCCAACCCUUUCCUAACAGCUGUGGCCUUGGGUCAUGCCUCCUGAAUCGCGUGACUUAAUAUUUGUUGGCCAAACAAAUGAGACACAAAGGAUAAAUAAAGCGCUACGUCUUCAGUAACAGUUACCGAUUUCUCAUUGC